AUGAAUAGGAUGUACUUCCCAGAGCAACUGUCUCACCAGAAGGAGACAUUCAGUCCAGCAGGAUUCAAUUCCAGUUCCAGAACUUCUGGGCGAGCAGUGACUGUUCCUGGCAGAGCUACAUUCACAAUCUGCAGUUAAAUCGACGAAGUGAAGGAGAAGAGUUUACUGUCAACUCCUGCCUCUCCUCUCAGAUAUAAUCCAGCUGAUGACCCAUCAGACACAUAUCAGCUGGGAUCAGCUGAACAAGAUAUUGUCUUGUUCAGAAGAGAGGAAGAGGCCCCAGAUGAUGACGUGACUUUUGUACAAUGCUCAAAUCUCACUGAUGAACGGGAAGAAUACACCACAGCCUCUCUGUAAAUCUUCACAUUGGACACACCGUGGUAGGAAGGCCAUACAAGGGAUUGGGCACACCUAUUCUUUUUUCCUUUAUCAUGUGAAGAUAUUAGUUUGCCAGAAUGAACAGUUCAGGAUUCAAGCUGAAGAUGCAAGGAACAGCUCUGCACACCCUGAGGUUUGGAUUCUGGAACCGCAUUGCCAACAUGAACACCCGCCUGUGAUGCCACAUGUGGCUUGGCAACCUGUUAUACCAGCCCUAUCCGCUGUUGCUGCCACCAUUUUGCACACU
This is a long non-coding RNA of Nothoprocta perdicaria, 625 nucleotides long. RefSeq lists it as uncharacterized. The transcript is spliced from 4 exons. Lineage: Eukaryota; Metazoa; Chordata; Aves; Tinamiformes; Tinamidae. The record is from RefSeq and is a predicted model, not a curated record.